RNAcentral lists this small nucleolar RNA (110 nucleotides) under Leersia perrieri. Lineage: Eukaryota; Viridiplantae; Streptophyta; Magnoliopsida; Poales; Poaceae. The record is from RNAcentral.
AUGGUGGCUGUGAUGCGUAUUGAUAAGGGAUUUUCUGAGGGAUUGAGAGACCUGUUUUGGUUUUCAUCCCCCUGAUUGAUAGAAACCAAUGGAUCCUUCUGAGCCUAUUU